UACGGAGGGUGCAAGCGUUAUCCGGAUUUACUGGGUUUAAAGGGUGCGUAGGUGGGUCUGUAAGUCAGUGGUGAAAUCUCCGGGCUUAACCCGGAAACUGCCAUUGAUACUAUAGGUCUUGAAUAUCCUGGAGGUGAGCGGAAUAUGUCAUGUAGCGGUGAAAUGCUUAGAUAUGACAUAGAACACCCAUUGCGAAGGCAGCUCACUACGGGAUUAUUGACACUGAGGCACGAAAGCGUGGGGAUCAAACAGG
This 253-nucleotide ribosomal RNA is filed under the name uncultured bacterium. RNAcentral describes it as "partial 16S ribosomal RNA". It matches the Rfam family "Bacterial small subunit ribosomal RNA", at positions 524 to 776 of the family's 1533-position model. The record is from RNAcentral.